GAUGAAGAACGCAGCGAAAUGCGAUAAGUAAUGUGAAUUGCAGAAUUCAGUGAAUCAUCGAAUCUUUGAACGCACAUUGCGCCCCUUGGUAUUCCGAGGGGCAUGCCUGUUCGAGCGUCAUUACACCACUCAAGCACUGCUUGGUAUUGGGCAUCGUCCGUCGAAAGGCGGGCGUGCCUCGAAGACCUCGGCGGGGUUUCUCCAACUUCGGGCGUAGUAGAGUUAAAUCGAACGUCUUAUAAGCUUGGUGGGACUCCAUUGCCGUUAAACCUUUUAUUUUCUAGGUUGACCUCGGAUCAGGUAGGGAUACCCGCUGAACUUAAGCAUAUCAAUAGCGGAGGA
RNAcentral lists this unclassified non-coding RNA (342 nucleotides) under soil metagenome. Its description in RNAcentral is "partial contains 5.8S ribosomal RNA, internal transcribed spacer 2, and large subunit ribosomal RNA". The stretch from base 1 to 120 matches the Rfam family "5.8S ribosomal RNA", at positions 35 to 154 of the family's 154-position model. The record is from RNAcentral.